RNAcentral lists this ribosomal RNA (445 nucleotides) under uncultured bacterium. Its description in RNAcentral is "bacterial SSU rRNA". It matches the Rfam family "Bacterial small subunit ribosomal RNA", at positions 958 to 1397 of the family's 1533-position model. The record is from RNAcentral.
AACGCGAAGAACCUUACCAGCUCUUGACAUGCCCGGUAUGGGUGGGAGAGAUCCCCCUCUUCGGUUCGGCCGGCCGGGACACAGGUGCUGCAUGGCUGUCGUCAGCUCGUGUCGUGAGAUGUUGGGUUAAGUCCCGCAACGAGCGCAACCCCCAUCUGCAGUUGCCAUCGGGUCAUGCCGGGCACUCUGCAGAAACUGCCGGUGACAAGCCGGAGGAAGGCGGGGAUGACGUCAAGUCCUCAUGGCCCUUAUGGGCUGGGCUACACACGUGCUACAAUGGCUGGCACAGAGGGGAGCCAACCCGCGAGGGGGAGCCAAUCCUGCCAAAGCCAGUCUCAGUUCGGAUUGGAGGCUGCAACUCGCCUCCAUGAAGCUGGAGUUGCUAGUAAUGCUAUAUCAGAACGAUAGCGUGAAUACGUUCCCGGGCCUUGUACACACCGCGAGC